GACGAACGCUGGCGGCGUGCCUAAUACAUGCCAGUUGAGCGCUGAAGGUUGGUACUUGUACCAACUGGAUGAGCAGCAAACGGGUGAGUAACGCGUGGGGAAUCUGCCUUUGAGCGGGGGACAACAUUUGGAAACGAAUGCUAAUACCGCAUAAAAACUUUAAACACAAGUUUUAAGUUUGAAAGAUGCAAUUGCAUCACUCAAAGAUGAUCCCGCGUUGUAUUAGCUAGUUGGUGGGGUAAAGGCUCACCAAGGCGAUGAUACAUAGCCGACCUGAGAGGGUGAUCGGCCACAUUGGGACUGAGACACGGCCCAAACUCCUACGGGAGGCAGCAGUAGGGAAUCUUCGGCAAUGGACGAAAGUCUGACCGAGCAACGCCGCGUGAGUGAAGAAGGGUUUCGGAUCGUAAAGCUCUGUUGGUAGAGAAGAACGUUGGUGAGAGUGGAAAGCUCAUCAAGUGACGGUAACUACCCAGAAAGGGACGGCUAACUACGUG
RNAcentral lists this ribosomal RNA (497 nucleotides) under uncultured bacterium. RNAcentral's name for it is "partial 16S ribosomal RNA". It matches the Rfam family "Bacterial small subunit ribosomal RNA", at positions 28 to 507 of the family's 1533-position model. The record is from RNAcentral.